RNAcentral lists this long non-coding RNA (733 nucleotides) under Mytilus galloprovincialis (Mediterranean mussel). The record is from RNAcentral. Lineage: Eukaryota; Metazoa; Mollusca; Bivalvia; Mytilida; Mytilidae.
AAAGUCAAUAUUAAAUAUAUUACUGUAGAAGUUUAAUAUGAAAUUCAAGCCAAAUCAAACAUUAAUCCGUAUUCCAGCCUACGAUAUGAUUAUAGAUUAAUCAAAUACUAAUAUCGAAGUCAUUUCAACCCUCAGAAUCGUCUGUACACACAGAUUAGACAUAGAUUAGAUUUUAAAGUCAUCUUAACAUUUGUUUACAUCUUUCAACGGCCAUUUUUUCUGUAUACUAUAAUACCUGAUUUCUAAAGUCUUUGUGAUUAAUAUGUAUGCUGAUAUGAACUUCUAGUCAAAUCAAGUGAACAUUAAUUAUUAUUCCAGCCUGCUAUAUGAUCAUUAUAGAUUACCCAAACGUUAAUGUCAAAGUAAUGUCAACCCUCAGAAUCGUCUGUACACAUAGAUUAGACAUAGAUUAGAUUUUAAAGUCAUAUUUUAAGAGACGAACAUUAUACAAUAUUUUGAACUUCUUUCAACGACCACGCGCCUAGCAAAUGCAAAAUGUAAAGGCAAAUCUGAUAAGCACACAACUAGCCGUAAUCUUCAAAAGAGGAAUCGGUGGUGUAUUGUUACGUUUGCUUGUCACGAAAGGUUUUAACUUGCAAGUGUCUUUUACAUGCACAGUGUUUGAUGCGGCAAGGGGGUUUAAUUGCUCUGAGUUUAAUGUUUUUAUGUGUAAUGUAUUUUGUUAUUUCAAUUUUGUCUUGUUAUUCACAGUAUUCUUACAUCUUACCAGACC